RNAcentral lists this ribosomal RNA (2381 nucleotides) under Photorhabdus luminescens subsp. luminescens. Its description in RNAcentral is "bacterial LSU rRNA". It matches the Rfam family "Bacterial large subunit ribosomal RNA", at positions 990 to 2925 of the family's 2925-position model. Lineage: Bacteria; Pseudomonadati; Pseudomonadota; Gammaproteobacteria; Enterobacterales; Morganellaceae. The record is from RNAcentral.
GGCGGGUGCUAACGUCCGUCGUGAAGAGGGAAACAACCCAGACCGCCAGCUAAGGUCCCGAAGUCAUGGUUAAGUGGGAAACGAUGUGGGAAGGCCCAGACAGCCAGGAUGUUGGCUUAGAAGCAGCCAUCAUUGAAAGAAAGCGUAAUAGCUCACUGGUCGAGUCGGCCUGCGCGGAAGAUGUAACGGGGCUAAACCAUGCGCCGAAGCUGCGGCAUUCAGAGGACAGAUUUCAGAAGACAGAGGACGGAAUGAUGUCAUAUGGAUUCGAGCAAUUGGACGUGUUUAAGAAAGCUUAUCGAAUUUCGUUAGAAAUUCAUCAGGUGAGUUUGACAUUUCCUCAGUACGAACAAUAUGGAUUAGCGGACCAGGUCGGGCGGGCAAGUAAGGGCAUUUGCGCCAACCUUGCCGAGGGCUUUGGUAAGCAGCAUUAUUCCAAACCCGAGUUCAGGCGUUUCAUUAGUAUAGCCUUAGGCAGUGCCGAUGAGAUGCGUGUAUGGUUAAGAUAUUGUCUGGAUUUGGGCUAUAUCAAUCGGGUUCAGUGGCAGGAAUGGCGCGAUGGCUAUGAAGAGAUAGCGAAAAUGCUGACUGGACUGGGGCGGCGUCUGUAAGCUGUAUUCUGACGUCUGUUCUCUGAAUGGGUAGGGGAGCGUUCUGUAAGCCGUUGAAGGCGGCGCCGUGAGGCCUGCUGGAGGUAUCAGAAGUGCGAAUGCUGACAUAAGUAACGAUAAAGCGGGUGAAAAACCCGCUCGCCGGAAGACCAAGGGUUCCUGUCCAACGUUAAUCGGGGCAGGGUGAGUCGACCCCUAAGGCGAGGCCGAACGGCGUAGCUGAUGGGAAACAGGUUAAUAUUCCUGUACUGAAUGUGACUGCGAAGGGGGGACGGAGAAGGCUAGGCCAUCCGGGCGACGGUCGUCCCGGUUUAAGCGUGUAGGUGGGAGGAGCAGGCAAAUCCGCUCUUCUUUUAACACUGAGGCGUGAUGACGAGCCGCUACGGCGGUGAAGUGGUUGAUGCCCGGCUUCCAGGAAAAGCCUCUAAGCAUCAGGUGACAUUGAAUCGUACCCCAAACCGACACAGGUGGUCAGGUAGAGAAUACUCAGGCGCUUGAGAGAACUCGGGUGAAGGAACUAGGCAAAAUGGUGCCGUAACUUCGGGAGAAGGCACGCUGGCGUUAGGUGAAGGGGUUUGCCCCCGGAGCCGAAGCCAGUCGCAGAGACCAGCUGGCUGCAACUGUUUAUUAAAAACACAGCACUGUGCCAACACGUAAGUGGACGUAUACGGUGUGACGCCUGCCCGGUGCUGGAAGGUUAAUUGAUGGGGUUAGCCGUUAAGGCGACGCUCUUGAUCGAAGCCCCAGUAAACGGCGGCCGUAACUAUAACGGUCCUAAGGUAGCGAAAUUCCUUGUCGGGUAAGUUCCGACCUGCACGAAUGGCGUAAUGAUGGCCAGGCUGUCUCCACCCGAGACUCAGUGAAAUUGAACUCGCUGUGAAGAUGCAGUGUCCCCGCGGCAAGACGGAAAGACCCCGUGAACCUUUACUAUAGCUUGACACUGAACAUGGAGCCUUGAUGUGUAGGAUAGGUGGGAGGCUUGGAAGUGCGGACGCCAGUCUGCAUGGAGCCAUCCUUGAAAUACCACCCUUGAAUGCUCGAUGUUCUCACUCAGGCCCGUCAUCCGGGCUGAGGACAGUGUCUGGCGGGUAGUUUGACUGGGGCGGUCUCCUCCCAAAGCGUAACGGAGGAGCACGAAGGUUGGCUAAUCACGGUCGGACAUCGUGAGGUUAGUGCAAAGGCAUAAGCCAGCUUAACUGCGAGAGUGACGGCUCGAGCAGGUACGAAAGUAGGUCUUAGUGAUCCGGUGGUUCUGGAUGGAAGGGCCAUCGCUCAACGGAUAAAAGGUACUCCGGGGAUAACAGGCUGAUACCGCCCAAGAGUUCAUAUCGACGGCGGUGUUUGGCACCUCGAUGUCGGCUCAUCACAUCCUGGGGCUGAAGUAGGUCCCAAGGGUAUGGCUGUUCGCCAUUUAAAGUGGUACGCGAGCUGGGUUUAGAACGUCGUGAGACAGUUCGGUCCCUAUCUGCCGUGGGCGCAGGAAGAUUGAAAGGGGCUGCUCCUAGUACGAGAGGACCGGAGUGGACGCACCGCUGGUGUACGGGUUGUCAUGCCAAUGGCAUAGCCCGGUAGCUAAGUGCGGGAGAGAUAACCGCUGAAAGCAUCUAAGCGGGAAACUUGCCUUGAGAUGAGUCUUCCCUUGACUUGAGGUCACGGAAGGAACGUUUAAGACGAAGACGUGGAUAGGCUGGGUGUGUAAGUGCAGCGAUGCAUUGAGCUGACCAGUACUAAUGAACCGAGAGGCUUAACCUUACAACGCCGAAGGUGUUU